This is a long non-coding RNA of Hemibagrus wyckioides, 830 nucleotides long. RefSeq lists it as uncharacterized. The record is from RefSeq and is a predicted model, not a curated record. NCBI's taxonomy places the organism in Eukaryota, Metazoa, Chordata, Actinopteri, Siluriformes, Bagridae. The transcript has 3 exons.
CAGGGACCCAGGAACAGAGACAGGAGAGCUGAUGGAAGCUUUUUUCCCGGUUUUCAAACAGCAAUUAGAGGAAAACCCACUUCGGAUCUCUUCAAUAUCAAAGUUAAAUUCACUCAAAGGUGAGGAUUCAUUCCAUCUGCAAUCGGUGGACUUGGAGCUGGAGGCCGUGGAGAAGCAGGUCCGCAACCUACACGAACGACAUCAGGCUGAGACAGACGAAGAUCCUGAAGAAGGACUUUAGGAGCCUGGUGGAGAAGGUUCAUGCCACAUCAUUCAUGAUGAGGAUCAUCAUGUCAGGACCACUUCCCACAUUCCAGUGAGGAAUCGAGAGGUUCAGUAGGCUAUUUGAUUUUAAUGAAUGGUUACACUCAUGGUGUCAAGACCAGAAAUUACCCUUUGUCAAUAAUUGGAAUAUUUUCUGGGAGCGUCCUAGGCUCUACCGUUCUGAUGGCCAGAGUUGGAGCAGCAGUCCUCUUGGACAACAUCUCCAGGACACUACGCACCAUCUGACUGGUAAGUCAUACCUUAGAUUCCAAUUAUAAUAGCUACUGUUCAACUUGCCAGACUGAUACAAGUUCACACAACUCGUCAUAUAGAAACUGUCUUUUCCCCGAUUACUGAGAUCAAAGGAUAAAUUCAUUAAUAGCUCUCGAAAUAAUCUAAUCACAGUUAAACCUGACAAAGGCCAAAUAAGUAAAGAAAAACAAUUUCUUAAGUUUGGGCUUCUCAAAAUUAGAUCCCUUGCACCGACAGCGAUUAUUGUUAAUGAAAUAAUCUCAGAUUAUAAUUUCGAUGCACUCUGUCUUACCGAAAUCUGGCUUAGACCAAAU